This 468-nucleotide ribosomal RNA is filed under the name uncultured bacterium. Its description in RNAcentral is "partial 16S ribosomal RNA". It matches the Rfam family "Bacterial small subunit ribosomal RNA", at positions 28 to 507 of the family's 1533-position model. The record is from RNAcentral.
GACGAACGCUGGCGGCGUGCUUAACACAUGCAAGUCGAACGGAAAGGCGCUGCUUUUGUGGGCUGCUCGAGUAGCGAACGGGUGAGUAACACGUGAGUAACCUACCCUUGACUUUGGUAUAACUUCAGGAAACUGGGGCUAAUACCGGAUAGGAUCUCCUGGCGCAAGGUGGGGCUGGGGCAGGGUCGGCGGUUGGGGAUGGACUCGCGGCUUAUCAGCUUGUGGGUGGGGUAGUGGCUGACCAAGGCUUUGACGGGUAGCCGGCCGGAGAGGGUGAGAGGCCACAUUGGGACUGAGAUACGGCACAGACUACUACGGGAGGCAGCAGUGGAGAAGAUGGCACAAUGGGCGGAAGCCUGAUGCAGCAACGCGGCGUGCGGGAUGACGGCCUUCGGGUUGUAAUCCGCUUUCGCCUGUGACGAAGCGUGAGUGACGGUAAUGGGUAAAGAAGCACCGGCUAACUACGUG